Molecule: long non-coding RNA, 1333 nt
Filed under: Mustela putorius furo (domestic ferret)
Lineage: Eukaryota; Metazoa; Chordata; Mammalia; Carnivora; Mustelidae
Description: lncRNA (ENSMPUG00000028600.1)
Source: RNAcentral
UAUAGAACCUAUAAGGAGAUAAAAGAACUUCAGCAUUAUAAAUGGAGUUCUUUUGGAAGCAAUGAAUCAAUCAAGAUGGUUGUUCUGUCUCUGAAAGUCAAGGUCUCUUCAGAUCUAGUGAAGAGGUCUUCUUGAUUUUCCUGAAGCUUCUCCCCAGCUAUCUUCUUCCGUGAUAACAUGCUGCUCUGGAUAUUUGUACAGUCACAGUAUUGAAUGAGUCUGGUAUAAGAAGGUCCUCCUGGAGCAGAGGUAGAAGAGAAAGAUGGUCUCUGCAGUCAAGGAGCCUAUCCUCUCAUCAGCGAUGUUGGACGCAAAUACCCACAAAGUUAAACCAAAAUGUAUGGCCCUGCGGAUCGGCACAUCGAAUCCCAUCGCUGAGCCUUCCUUGCGCACAUCCCAGGUUCCUCUGCAAAGCCUUUGCCAUGGCAUCGAGCCGCUCGUGGAGUGCUCUUCUGUGCAAGGGGCUGUGUGCUGUUCGCAACACGGGCUCCACGAAGGAGGUCCCGUGAUUCAUUUUCAUCUCAUCGCCAGUCGCCUUGCCCCUAUGCCAGGGCUGGGAAGCAACAAGCGGGAGGUCUGUGCCAUGAGUAGAUCUGAGUCACGGGAGAGAAUCCGAAGGAAAAUGAGCAGCUUAAAAAUACUGCAUAGGAAAGAAAUGGUGUUUUAUAUAAGGAAAACUCUGAAGAUUACACUGGCUGGUACAAGAAAGAUUUGUUUCGGAGACGAAAGUAAGAAUGUAAUAGACCGCAAGUGGAGCAAAGUGGCAACUGGAGACAAGGCAAAGUGGCGACUCUGAUGCAGCCCUGCAUUUGUUCUGGAUUCUUCUAGGCCCUUCCAGGAGAUGGUAGCAGGGAAAGGAACUUACACUGACUUUCUCCAAGUGUUGUAGGAUUUUUCACAGACUUCGCAGGUGUGCUACACAUUUGCAAUUAACAGAAUACUUAAUCCUGAUGUGCCUUUUCUUUCCCAUAGGCUUUAUUAUAGCUGGAAUAUGUUACAAUGCAUCAUACUCUACGAUGCCUAUAAAAAUGCCUGCUUGUUUUAAAUGUUGGAUUUUAUGCAUUUUAUGUUUAUAUUAGGCCGAAAGUGUCCCUAUAUUUUAGUGAUAGACAUUUACGCUCAUCCACAGGGUAAGAAACAAUAUAAUGUAGCAGUAUGUUGUCUCUGAAAGAGUUUAUAGAAGUGGGGUAGUUUCGUAUUUAAUUUUAAGUUACUAAUUUUUAAGGAAAGGGUUUGCUUGAGAUAGUUAUUACAGUUUCCAGGGCCCACAUGGUGAGAAUAUGCAUCUUUGCAACCAGCAGAGAGUUCGUAAGAUUCAGGUACCCAGAGUCAG